UUAUUAUAUAUAUCAAAUGAUAACAUAGGUUUGCUACAGUAUUCGAGGGUAUUUUCGUUAUUUCAAUCUUCAAACAAUUCCAAUAACCAUGUGUCUGUUGUCCUACCCAUUCGUUCUCUCCCUACCCUCCAGAGCAGGUUACCCACCAGGCCGCCACCACCACCACUACCGUCGCCCUUCCAUCCGCUGAUGAUGAACACUGAUUGGCAUCGCCCGUCACUACCGAUCGUCUUCCAUCUGCUGCUGCUGAUCAUCGUUGAUUAAAGCGGCCGGCUGAUUCGAAACCAGGGUUUGGUUUUGAUUGUGGUAGUUGAUUGAGGUGGCAGUUAUGAACAGGUCCCGACGAAGCUACAAGAUUACUGAAGAUUGUUUUAAGGGUUUACAAGUUUAAGGAGUGUCAACCUUCCUACCUUCCAUUGGAACUAUUAAUGUAACAUAAGCAACCUUCUGGAUUCAAGGAUAACAAAGGAGAUGACUUUCAAAUUGAUGGUAAAAGAGAUACCAUUUUGCUUUUACAAUUGGCUUCAAUUUUAAGAUAUUUUUUAAUUUUUAAUUUGUAACACACGCCUUUGUAAAUAAAAUUAUUUUUGCAAUAUACGUCUCCCCCUACUGUAUCACGUUC
Molecule: long non-coding RNA, 622 nt
Filed under: Helianthus annuus (common sunflower)
Lineage: Eukaryota; Viridiplantae; Streptophyta; Magnoliopsida; Asterales; Asteraceae
Source: RNAcentral